Molecule: long non-coding RNA, 2490 nt
Organism: Oryzias melastigma (Indian medaka)
Lineage: Eukaryota; Metazoa; Chordata; Actinopteri; Beloniformes; Adrianichthyidae
Exons: 2
Source: RefSeq, a predicted model, not a curated record
GGAUCCAAAGUUCCGAACGCCGUUUCUCGUUUGCGUCUGAACCGUAACAGUGAUGUGAACAGCAGCAGAAAUCCCUUUGACUACAUCUGCCUUUUACUGGUCUCUUGACAUUAGAGCCUCUUGACUACACUCAGCUAAAUAUAGCCGCUCUGCUUCCACCGAGCAGCUUCUCGGCUAAUGUGGGCCGCCAGGCAGUGGUGGGCCUCGGUGUGAAACCGUGACACGCAUCCAGCAGAGACGCUCUCAUCGGGCGCGCGGCGUCGGAGGCUCACGCUCAUACCGGUCCGCAUGACUUCCCACACUGAUGCUCAGAGAUAAGCUUCUCAGAGAUCAUCAUGUCUGCAAACGUUGAUCAUUUCCGCCUCAAUCAGACGCUCCGAGCGCCGUCUGCGUCUAGAACGCCAUCAAACAUCUGGCCGGUAGGUAAGCCAUCAAACCGGCACGAACCUGCAGCUGCUCUGACAAAACGCACGCCGCCAGCACGUCACUUCUGUUCUCUCUGCUGUCAGCAUCCCGGCGAGGGGGCGGGGCACAGCUGUGUCACCGGACCGGCGCUUUCAUCCCUUCAUUUGUGCGCUCUGCUAUGCACGCCGCGUCAUCCGUGUGGCGAGCAUUCAUCCGAGAUGCAUGCAGUCACGCAGACGUGCAGCGUGUGCUCUCAAACAAACCCGCUAAGACGAAUGGAAACUAUAAUCUGCAGAAACUAGAUUUACUGUUGGGAUUAAAAAUGACGUCAAAAUAAAAGCAUGAGCUCCUCAAACGCUUCUCCAGAAUCUCAGCAGGAAUCCAAAGCCGCCUCGUGGUUCUGGAUGGAGUCCAUCAGCACCACAGACCAAACGUUGGGAUGCGGAUGCGUCUCACCUCAGAUAAAUCAUGGUUCUGUGACGCUCUCCUGUCAGGAACUCGUCCUCCGUGUAAUUAUCGGGACAGAAGAUUCCUCCCUGUGGUCUGCUGGGUUCACUGAAGAGAGUUCCUGCUUUUUGCUGAGAGAAACGAGGUUUUUAAACACUUUUCAGUCAGUCUGAGAGCAGAGCGUCAGGGAUGUACCACCGCGGUCCUGAGGAGAGGGGAGAUGAAGCAGGAAGAGGCCGGCUCUGGGAGGAGGUCAAGUAGGGUCAAAUGGGAAAUAAACCACAAGAAAAAAGAAGUUUAUGGAAUAAAUCCAUUUGAUGCACCAACAGCUGGACAGUAAAUCUUUCUUUAUGUGACAGAAUACAACCGCUGUGAGACGCCACACCCAGCAGGGAUUUGAACCAGAACAUUCUCGCUGUGAGGAGAGACGGCUAACCACUGCUCCAUAGUGCAGCCCAAAAAGAUAUAACAAAGUGAAUCUCUAACUGACACAUGAGGUGUCGUCUGAGCGUCAAAAGGUCGGUGUCCUGACAAACAGAGACUCCUCGAAAUCUUUUUUCUCUUUUUUUAAAGAAUAAUUCCAAUUAAAAUUGUGUUUUUGAUGAAGGAGAACAUUUAUUAAACACUUUAAGAUCAAAAUUGCAUUUCUAAGUAUUUUUUAGGAAGAAAUUGUGUUUAAGAAAAGAUCAGGGUGGGAAAGGAGGCGGGGUUUCUCCACUCUGGAGUCCCGCCCACAUCUCAGAGGUGAAUUUCAAAUGAACUCCUGCAGAAACUGUAUCCUAGAAAACAGCUUUUUUUUAUUUUGGCUGAGAAAAUUGAUCAAAGGAUGAUUGGAGUGUGAAUUUAACAAAAUAAAAGCUUCUUCUUGUUUAUUUUUUAGCUAAUAUUGUUCCAGUCCUGAAAUAAAUGAGCAAAAGUUCUUCUUUCAGUUUUUUCUCGGCUCUCCUCCAGAUAAAAGUGGAACCGUUUAACCGUUUCUGUCUUUUCAUCUUCUGCUCAGGAAUAAAACGAUUCUUCGUUUGUUCUGAAAGCCGCACUUUUCAAACGGCGUUCCCAGAAUCCCCAUCUCCCUUUGAAGUCCCCCUUCCCUCCGGAGGCGCAGCGCCCCACGUCUGUUUCAGGCCGAGCCGUCGUUCACGUUCGACUGGGCGUUGAUGAAGCUCCGCCUGACGGAUCUCCAAUCAGAGACUGACCGUCGUCCUCCUGGCUUCUGCUUCAUCAUCAGUUUGUGACGGAACCAGAAACUUCUGCUUCAUUUCCAAACCAGGAUCGCUCCAGAUCUUCAAAAAAUUAGAUUCCUGCUCCUCAAACCUUCAGGAGAUCUUUAUCUAAACCAAAUAAAUCACAACCGGUUUGAGCAAAAACAGAGAAACUUGUUUUUUGUUCUGGCUUUUGGAGGAACCUCAAAAAGUUUCAAAGUUAAGAAUCAAAAGAUUAAAAAACUGCUAUGAAGAAAUCUUCAAUGUGAGAAAAGUCCAGAAAAAAACAUCUUUAUGCUCUAAAACAAUCUAGAAUUAUGAUACAUUUACUGAUUUGAAAUUCUUAUUAUUCCAAAAAAGAUGUAAAAAAAAAACAAGGAGGUUCUAAAGACAAAAUAUGAAGACUUUCCAAAAUAAAACAUUAACAUGAGAAAAAAAA